This 547-nucleotide long non-coding RNA is filed under the name Vulpes vulpes (red fox). Its description in RNAcentral is "lncRNA (ENSVVUG00000022038.1)". The record is from RNAcentral. Lineage: Eukaryota; Metazoa; Chordata; Mammalia; Carnivora; Canidae.
CUUCAUCUGACUUGCCCCUGUCUGACUUUGUUAGACUCAAUUCACUUGGUAAAAUUACAUUGCUGAUCAGGUUCAAGUGUGCUCACUCUACGAUUGCCUUCAUGCCACAGAAAAACUCGAACUCACAGCCAUGCUGACUGACCUCCCAUCUGGCUCUGUGGUUUCAUCAAGUAUUCUUUUUAAAAGCAACGUCUGAACAUGAAAAAAUCUAGUUUUUGAAAACUGUCUAAAAUGGAGUAUAAAAGUAUUGUCUCUCCCCCUUCCUCCCCCACACCCCGUGCUACACUCUAGAGGAGGCUGGACAUAAACUAUACAUUUUGGGUUCUUCUGAGAUGGAAGAGUUUCCAGAACCAUUAUGGAAUAGCAUCAUGUAUGCAUUUACCUGGGGCCUCGCACAACUUUUGUUGUAGCCAAGAAUAGCCAAGAAUAUUGUGAAGAAAGUUGAUAUCAUCAUCACCAACACAAUCUGGGCAAGUCCCUUAAUUUUUCUUAAUUGAAUAGUACACCUUCAAUUCCAUUUGUGCCUGUGUUUGUCUUAGUCACAAGC